UAGGACCUGUAUACGCUUAAAACAUUUUUACAAAUUUCCAACAGCAACAUCACCAAAAUGCUACGACAGCAACAACCCAGAACUGAACUCCACAGCCUGGUUUUCAGAGUACAUCGGAUCUUUCAUAACUUUCCUCACUGUGGCGGAUCUUCAGUCAUUUGGAUCUGAACUGGUAUUUUUUCCUCACCUGGACAGUGCAGUUCUCUUUUUUUGUUUGUUUGUUUCUUACAGAGAGAAAAACAUGUUAUAUCUACUGUUUGAAAAAUUUUAGAUUUAAUUGGUUUCUUCUCUUUUCAGUACCUGCAGCUGUUUACAGUGAAUCGUCAGAAUCUUGUGCUUCUGAAGAACAAUAGAGUGGAUCUGACAUUAAUCAUCUACUACAUUCAGUUAGUUUAUCAACAAGACAUCAACUUCAGUCCACUUGAGUAAGUUGAAGACAAUAAAAUAUGUUUUAUAUCCUGCAGCCACAAAUCAUACACAUGACCACCAAGUAUGUCACCUUAAACUGUAAAAUCUGUUUUCACUCUCUUUGAAGCCUUCCUCCAUCGGGUCAGUGCUUUGCUCCUGGUCGGGUGUUCACUCAGUUGACUACACAAGAAAGUUUGACAGUUUUGGGAAAUGUCAACAGUUUUUGUACAGACCUAGAUCCACAGAUUGUUGCUGCUUUGACAAGUAAUUUUGGUGAGAACAUUGAUGCCCAAGUCAUUUCUGCCCUCGGUAAUGAAAGCAGCAGCUUGUCCAUAAGCCAGAUAAAUUCUGUGAAGCCUUCAGACUUGGUGGAUUCUCUCAGGAUUCUCAGCAAUGUGAUUGGUUGGAGAAAAGGACAGGCUAAAGCCAUUGUCCAGUCUUUGCUGUCGUCAGGAUUUUUACAGGUACUGUUAGUAUGUGUUUAUUAGCAACCAGACAAAAAUUUGAACAAAGUGUUGACAUUUUUUUCUUUCUUGCUACCUUCUACAUCCAAUCAGAUCAACAGCUCAGCCUCACUGUUAAACUUGGGCUCCCUCAUCCCUGGCGUCCCAUCAACUUUGUUCAGCGGCAUCAGCGGCUCUGAUCUUGUCCCUGUAUCUCCCUCACUCCUGUACUACAUACAGUCUGCUCCACGGAUUGUCCAGCUGUUCUUUGUGAUAAGGGUAAGACUAAUGAAGAACUUAAGAGGAAAAAAUGGGUGCCUACUUGCAUUACAUCUUUGUUGUAUGCUUUAAGAACAUACAUUUAAGCAAAACUUGGACAUGUCC
This 1235-nucleotide long non-coding RNA is filed under the name Oryzias javanicus (javanese ricefish). RNAcentral describes it as "lncRNA (ENSOJAG00000010950.1)". The record is from RNAcentral. Lineage: Eukaryota; Metazoa; Chordata; Actinopteri; Beloniformes; Adrianichthyidae.